Long non-coding RNA from Paramacrobiotus metropolitanus, 1007 nucleotides. RefSeq lists it as uncharacterized. The transcript has 3 exons. The record is from RefSeq and is a predicted model, not a curated record. Lineage: Eukaryota; Metazoa; Tardigrada; Eutardigrada; Parachela; Macrobiotidae.
UGCCAAGUACCGCAUGCUGCCAUGUACCAUUUUUACCAACAUACUCCUGUGUUUGACUAGAAUUCGCAAUAAAGCACUCAGCAACAUUCAUGAACAUUUUAUGGAGACAAAAUGGCGACACCUACUCCCACCACGAAACUGACUGUCAGCGGGCGCAUAAGUGAUACAGAUAGCAAUGUCGAUACCAGUGCGGAACAGCCGUCUCAUACGUUUCCUGUUGCCAAAAAUUCCUGCGGCACACGGGUUGCAGGGGAGGGCAUUAACUUGUACCAACUUGCCAAGGAUUAUGGCUGUACGCUUUUUAACGUGAUGACUUGGAAGACAUAGGAAUUUUUCGGUAUGAAAUCAAGCAAAGUUGGUAGCAACAAUCCGCAAAAUCAUGACACCAUCCACACAGCUCCCACAGCCUAUCAGCGUUCGGCAGGCGGAAAAUCAGUUUCGGAAAAAUUAUCUGUUUAAGUACUUGCUUGUUGGUAUAUCCUGGGUUAAUCUUUGCACAGCUGAUACUGGGCGCUUGGACCAUUGCCGCAAUCGAUCGAACUUGCAAACCUAAUACCAACGGCUAUAUAACCUACCGGAAUGCCACGAUUCUUAUGCCUCCCAAUUAUGAUUAUUAUUUUGUACGGUGGGUGGGUGAUGCAACAACUGAUACAACAAUAUACUUUUGGGAACUUGCCUACACAACCAAUCCGCAGGACAUUUUACUCUUAAAACUGUGCUACAAACUGUACUGCUCAGAAACAGAUUUCCAUUCGUGCAUGCGUUAGGAAGUGAAGAUAUCGAGCCGAGUAUCUGCGGUGAGAAAAAUGGCCGGUCUAGCUGUAGCAUUUGCCGUUGUUCAGCUGGUGGGUCUUAUACAGAUAGCAACGUGCAUAAGCGGUUGUUCGAAUGUACGAGCAUCCGGUAGCGAAUCUUAUCUGGCGUGUUUCACUGGGUUGUGUCUCUGGGUUGUUGGAGUCGCAGUAAGUCUAGUAUCGUUUCUGUGGUUAAUUAUUGCCGUGCAUGAU